This 94-nucleotide microRNA precursor is filed under the name Ochotona princeps (American pika). RNAcentral's name for it is "miRNA (ENSOPRG00000017822.1)". Lineage: Eukaryota; Metazoa; Chordata; Mammalia; Lagomorpha; Ochotonidae. The record is from RNAcentral.
CGGACAGCUGACACUUGCAGUUCCUUGAAAAGCUAUAAAAGGUCAGGGGAAACUAAGACCACGAUCCUGCUCUGCAGUCACAGUGAAUUGUGUC